Molecule: ribosomal RNA, 127 nt
Filed under: Ophiostoma pseudotsugae
Lineage: Eukaryota; Fungi; Ascomycota; Sordariomycetes; Ophiostomatales; Ophiostomataceae
Description: partial 5.8S ribosomal RNA
Rfam family: 5.8S ribosomal RNA
About the family: 5.8S ribosomal RNA (5.8S rRNA) is a component of the large subunit of the eukaryotic ribosome. It is transcribed by RNA polymerase I as part of the 45S precursor that also contains 18S and 28S rRNA. Functionally, it is thought that 5.8S rRNA may be involved in ribosome translocation.
Source: RNAcentral
GCAUCGAUGAAGAACGCAGCGAAAUGCGAUACGUAAUGCGAAUUGCAGAAUUCAGCGAGUCAUCGAAUCUUUGAACGCACAUUGCGCCCGCCAGCAUUCUGGCGGGCAUGCCUGUCCGAGCGUCAUU